This 633-nucleotide unclassified non-coding RNA is filed under the name Hevea brasiliensis (rubber tree). The record is from RNAcentral. Lineage: Eukaryota; Viridiplantae; Streptophyta; Magnoliopsida; Malpighiales; Euphorbiaceae.
UUAUUUAAAAAUUUAUUUAUUUUAUAAAAAAUAAUUUUUAUAUAAAAAAAUAUGUGUUAUACAUUUUAAUAAAAUUUUAAAAAUUUAGAAAAUAGGCACCUAAUCGUUGUCAAUUUGAACUUCUCAUGAGCGCAUCUGUAAUCAUCUGAAGGACUGAAUUAUUAGAUCCGCAUCAACAACAAUUUCUGGAAAUUCGCAAUCCCAUCUCAUAACAUUAACAAACCCAAAUAAUGAAACAAGCCCAUUGUGAAAAUGAGAAGAGUGAAGCCAUGUGCAACCAUGUGAUGAUGAAAACGAAGGCUCGAGUCACUUGCUACUUCACAGAUUAAGUGAUUGCUAUCCUGUGAAGAGAAAGAAGAUGGAGACACGUGUUGGAUGGCACCAGAACCUGGUCAUUGGUUGAAGAAGGCUAAAGGUUGAGGAUGAAACAAAUAGAGGGACAACACCGAUCGUGAAUCUGGAGAAGGGGUGAUAUUUAGAAACGACAAUGGAUGAGCAUGUGAGAAGGAGGAGGAGAGGUUUUACCAGUUAAAUUUAGUAUUACUGUUUAUGAUACAAAAAUUGAGAACGGCCGGCUUGACAUUUUGACAAACAGUUUUGGGACCUAUCGGUGCAUCCACAAUUUGAUUCCAA